This 253-nucleotide ribosomal RNA is filed under the name uncultured bacterium. RNAcentral describes it as "partial 16S ribosomal RNA". It matches the Rfam family "Bacterial small subunit ribosomal RNA", at positions 524 to 776 of the family's 1533-position model. The record is from RNAcentral.
GACAGAGGGUGCAAACGUUGUUCGGAAUUACUGGGCGUAAAGCGCGUGUAGGCUGCUUUGCAAGUCGGAUGUGAAAGCCCCGGGCUCAACCUGGGAAGUGCACUCGAAACUGCAGAGCUCGAGUCCUGGAGAGGAAGGCGGAAUUCUCGGUGUAGAGGUGAAAUUCGUAGAUAUCGAGAGGAACACCGGUGGCGAAGGCGGCCUUCUGGACAGUGACUGACGCUGAGGCGCGAAAGCGUGGGGAGCAAACGGG